GUGAAUUCUAUUAUAUGCUCUUUAAAGCUCUCGUAAGUUUCCAUCCCGGCUUCUUAAUCCAUGCUGUUCAAAGCCUGAAAACAAAAUAUAGUAAUGGUGAAUGAGAAAUGCUCAGUAAAAGGAUCAACAAUCAUAAAACGGUUGAGGGUUGCGAUCUUGAACUCCAUGUGACCAUGGCAACGACUGUGACCGCAGACCUGCUCAUCCACUAAUUAAUCAAGGUCAUUGAGAGAAAAUUGAGAAUUUUAAGUAAAAAUGCAUAGAAAAGGAUGGAGCCAUCGGGCCCUGAAUGACUGCGCUCGAGCGCACCUGCCUCGCAUACAGCGCGCGCAGCGCUUAAUUGUUGCGUCGCUCAAGCCCUGCCGAACGCCCAAAGGCGCUCGAGCGCACCCUGCUAACCUUGACCUACAACUGCAGGAAUCCUAAUUUUUUUUCUAUAAAAACCCCAUUUUUCUCAUUUCUUCGGGGGGAGGCCACUUGGAAAGCACCU
This is a long non-coding RNA of Alnus glutinosa, 490 nucleotides long. RefSeq lists it as uncharacterized. The transcript is spliced from 3 exons. The record is from RefSeq and is a predicted model, not a curated record. NCBI's taxonomy places the organism in Eukaryota, Viridiplantae, Streptophyta, Magnoliopsida, Fagales, Betulaceae.